Stegastes partitus (bicolor damselfish) is the source of this 1215-nucleotide long non-coding RNA. RefSeq lists it as uncharacterized. The transcript is spliced from 5 exons. Lineage: Eukaryota; Metazoa; Chordata; Actinopteri; Pomacentridae. The record is from RefSeq and is a predicted model, not a curated record.
GAGCGAUGAGUCUUGACGCGGGAAGAUGUACGUCCAGAGUCUCCACAAUUUGUUAAGAAUUCACCUGAAGGUAAAAGCUAAAUGUAUUUAGCGGCUGCUCUUAUAGCGCUGUCCGGGAUUAUGUAGUCGUGUCUGGGCCGAAGCGGACCGACGGCGGAGUGCGCCGUGGCUCUUUGCGCACCACGUGCCAUGGCGAACGGACUGUAAUGGAGGCGCACGAGGCUGAGCUGGUUCCUCCUGCAGGCUGCAGAAGAGGAGGUUUCCUCUGGGAGUCUGCAAAACCGAAGACUGUGUGGUCAGGAAACUCCUAGAGUCCCACCACAGACUGAUGGAGGAAGGACCGGACCAGUGGGAGCUGAGCCUGCAGCUGACGGUGUCCUAGACGUGGCCGACCAGACGCAGAGCGCUCUUUCUCGCUCAUCCACACACUAAUGGAAGCUGGUGUUUCAGUUCCACAUCUGUGCAGAGCUUUGGGAUUUCCAACCGGUCCAAGCUUUCCAGAUCGUCGGUAUCAAGACAUCCGAGUAACGAAAGGGUUGGAAGGAAGCAUCCUCACCACUGCCAUCAUGUGUUUGGCUUCUAGAAGAAAACUUGUCAGUAUGCAAAGAUGCCUGGUGCUUUUUACAUCAGCUAAGGUUAUGUUUUCAUUCAUGUUUAAGCAAACUACAGGCUCUGUUUUUGUUUAGACAGUUGGAGCAAAUGAAGACCAUACAUGUUGGUUUAGGUUUGGUUUGAAUCUGCUGAAGAAAUUGUACCUGUAGUCCUCCUGUGAAGUUUGCUGUAGUGGGUGUUUAUUAGUAUUCCGGUAUACGCUGGGCUCACCAACAUGAGUCUGUGAUGGUGAACCGACCCGAACAUCUGCAGAGUCGCACAUUUAUAGGGUGUGUCAGAGGGUGGGGGGGCUGCAUGUAAAUACAGAAGUGAAUCAUGGCUGGUUAACAUACAGUUACUAAUCAAAUGGCAGGAGGUAAAGGGACAAUGAACAACAGGGGAUGGAAUCAGGGGUCUGUGACCAUCAAAAUAAAAGAAAAUGACUUUCUUCAUCACAUCUCCGCAGGUCUGGGCUCUGAGUGUCUCUCUAACCCUUUGUGUCUGGUCUUGUUGGUUAAAAAACAAGUAAAAUACACAAAAUGUUGACCCCAAAAUGUUUUAAGGGUUUUAACUACUUGUAUGUGGAUGUAUCUGGACUUUUGUAAUAAAUUGCUGCCAACACAA